Molecule: long non-coding RNA, 410 nt
Filed under: Vigna radiata
Lineage: Eukaryota; Viridiplantae; Streptophyta; Magnoliopsida; Fabales; Fabaceae
Description: long non-coding RNA (VRAD_LNC007991)
Source: RNAcentral
AAAGAUUGUUGAGGAUAAUGGGGAAGUGUGUGAAUGCUCCUUUAAUGCAGAAAGAAGAAGAGACAGAUUACUGAGGAUAAUGGGGAGGUGUAGGAUAUUUUUGGAAUAAAAGAAAAUAAUGGGGAGGUGUAGAGUAUUUUUGGAAUAAAAGAAAAUAGUGAAGAGGUGCAAGAGCACUUGAGGUGGUGGAGGGAGCAACACCCUUUGUUAUUUUGUAGUUUUACUUGUUAGAUCGAGUUCUUAACACAACUCUUUCUACUUAAAAGUGUAAUAGUUAAAAGCCAUGAUUAGAUACAAUUGAUGUUACCCUCCACAAUCUCCCCUUGAAUUGUGACUCGGCCCACUUGGCCUUCACCACAAGAUAAUUGUAUAACUCAUAAUAAUCUCCCCUUAAAUAACUUCCAACUAGG